UGCGUAGGCGGACUAAUAAGUCAGUGGUGAAAUCUUUCGGCUCAACCGAGAAACUGCCAUUGAUACUGUUAGUCUUGAGUUCGGUCGAGGUAGGCGGAAUGUGUAAUGUAGCGGUGAAAUGCUUAGAUAUUACACAGAACACCAAUUGCGUAGGCAGCUUACUAGACCGACACUGACGCUGAGGCACGAAAGCGUGGGGAGCGAACAGGAUUAGAUACCCUGGUAGUCC
RNAcentral lists this ribosomal RNA (229 nucleotides) under uncultured bacterium. Its description in RNAcentral is "partial 16S ribosomal RNA". It matches the Rfam family "Bacterial small subunit ribosomal RNA", at positions 568 to 796 of the family's 1533-position model. The record is from RNAcentral.